Molecule: non-coding RNA, 111 nt
Organism: Acanthosepion pharaonis
Lineage: Eukaryota; Metazoa; Mollusca; Cephalopoda; Sepiida; Sepiidae
Source: the annotation of a GenBank genome assembly
CAGCUAUAACAUGUUGAAACACCAGUUCUCAUGUGAUCACCAAAAUUAAGCAUCGUUGAGCCUGGUCAGUACCUAGAUGGGUGACUGCUUGGUUAUACAAGGUGCUGUAAG